RNAcentral lists this ribosomal RNA (197 nucleotides) under Aeromonas sp. ARM81. RNAcentral describes it as "partial 16S ribosomal RNA". It matches the Rfam family "Bacterial small subunit ribosomal RNA", at positions 1346 to 1533 of the family's 1533-position model. The record is from RNAcentral. Lineage: Bacteria; Pseudomonadati; Pseudomonadota; Gammaproteobacteria; Aeromonadales; Aeromonadaceae.
AAAUCAGAAUGUUGCGGUGAAUACGUUCCCGGGCCUUGUACACACCGCCCGUCACACCAUGGGAGUGGGUUGCACCAGAAGUAGAUAGCUUAACCUUCGGGAGGGCGUUUACCACGGUGUGAUUCAUGACUGGGGUGAAGUCGUAACAAGGUAACCCUAGGGGAACCUGGGGUUGGAUCACCUCCUUACCUUAAUGA